Molecule: ribosomal RNA, 433 nt
Filed under: uncultured bacterium
Lineage: Bacteria
Description: partial 16S ribosomal RNA
Rfam family: Bacterial small subunit ribosomal RNA
Source: RNAcentral
AACGAACGCUGGCGGCAUGCCUAACACAUGCAAGUCGAACGAGACCUUCGGGUCUAGUGGCGCACGGGUGCGUAACGCGUGGGAACCUGCCCUUAGGUUCGGAAUAACUCCCCGAAAGGGGUGCUAAUACCGGAUAAUGUCUUCGGACCAAAGAUUUAUCGCCUUUGGAUGGGCCCGCGUUGGAUUAGCUAGUUGGUAGGGUAAAAGCCUACCAAGGCGACGAUCCAUAGCUGGUCUGAGAGGAUGAUCAGCCACACUGGGACUGAGACACGGCCCAGACUUCUACGGGAGGCAGCAGUGGGGAAUAUUGGACAAUGGGCGGAGGCAUGAUCCAGCACUGCCGCGUGAGUGAUGAAGGCCUUAGGGUUGUAAAGCUCUUUUACCCGGGAUGAUAAUGACAGUACCGGGAGAAUAAGCUCCGGCUAACUCCGUG